Molecule: ribosomal RNA, 305 nt
Filed under: uncultured bacterium
Lineage: Bacteria
Description: bacterial SSU rRNA
Rfam family: Bacterial small subunit ribosomal RNA
Source: RNAcentral
UCGACCCUACGGGGGGCAGCAGUGAGGGAUAUUGGUCAAUGGGGGAAACCCUGAACCAGCAACGCCGCGUGAGGGAAGACGGUUUUCGGAUUGUAAACCUCUGUCCUCUGUGAAGAUAAUGACGGUAGCAGAGGAGGAAGCUCCGGCUAACUACGUGCCAGCAGCCGCGGUAAUACGUAGGGAGCGAGCGUUGUCCGGAUUUACUGGGUGUAAAGGGUGCGUAGGCGGGUAAGCAAGUCAGAAGUGAAAUCCAUGGGCUUCACCCAUGAACUGCUUUUGCAGCUGUUUAUCUUGUGUGAAUUAGA